Molecule: ribosomal RNA, 246 nt
Filed under: uncultured bacterium
Lineage: Bacteria
Description: partial 16S ribosomal RNA
Rfam family: Bacterial small subunit ribosomal RNA
Source: RNAcentral
CUUAGUGGCGAACGGGUGAGUAACGCGUUGGUGAUCUGCCCCAAAGAGAGGGACAACAGUUCGAAAGGACUGCUAAUACCUCAUGUGGUCACGAGAGUUAGAGUUCUCGUGUCUAAAUGGAUUUAUUCGCUUUGGGAGGAGCCUGCGUCCCAUCAGCUAGUUGGUAAGGUAACGGCUUACCAAGGCAAAGACGGGUAGGGGACCUGAGAGGGUGGUCCCCCACAAUGGUACUGAAACACGGACCAU